This 496-nucleotide ribosomal RNA is filed under the name uncultured bacterium. RNAcentral describes it as "partial 16S ribosomal RNA". It matches the Rfam family "Bacterial small subunit ribosomal RNA", at positions 28 to 506 of the family's 1533-position model. The record is from RNAcentral.
GAUGAACGCUGGCGGCGUGCCUAAUACAUGCAAGUCGAGCGAACAGAUGAGGAGCUUGCUCCUCUGACGUUAGCGGCGGACGGGUGAGUAACACGUGGAUAACCUACCUAUAAGACUGGGAUAACUUCGGGAAACCGGAGCUAAUACCGGAUAAUAUAUUGAACCGCAUGGUUCAAUAGUGAAAGACGGUUUUGCUGUCACUUAUAGAUGGAUCCGCGCCGCAUUAGCUAGUUGGUAAGGUAAUGGCUUACCAAGGCAACGAUGCGUAGCCGACCUGAGAGGGUGAUCGGCCACACUGGAACUGAGACACGGUCCAGACUCCUACGGGAGGCAGCAGUAGGGAAUCUUCCGCAAUGGGCGAAAGCCUGACGGAGCAACGCCGCGUGAGUGAUGAAGGUCUUCGGAUCGUAAAACUCUGUUAUUAGGGAAGAACAAAUGUGUAAGUAACUAUGCACGUCUUGACGGUACCUAAUCAGAAAGCCACGGCUAACUACGU